GUGUUGCUCACUUCAGCAGUACAUAUAGUAAAACUGGGACAAUACAGAGAAGAUUAAUAGGGUGACACACAAAUUCGUUAAGUGUUCCAUAUUUUC
Molecule: small nuclear RNA, 96 nt
Organism: Camelus dromedarius (Arabian camel)
Lineage: Eukaryota; Metazoa; Chordata; Mammalia; Artiodactyla; Camelidae
Source: Ensembl